AGUGAACGCUGGCGGUAGGCCUAACACAUGCAAGUCGAACGGCAGCACAGUAAGGGCUUGCUCUUACGGGUGGCGAGUGGCGGACGGGUGAGGAAUACAUCGGAAUCUACUUUUUCGUGGGGGAUAACGUAGGGAAACUUACGCUAAUACCGCAUACGACCUACGGGUGAAAGCAGGGGAUCUUCGGACCUUGCGCGAUUGAAUGAGCCGAUGUCGGAUUAGCUAGUUGGCGGGGUAAAGGCCCACCAAGGCGACGAUCCGUAGCUGGUCUGAGAGGAUGAUCAGCCACACUGGAACUGAGACACGGUCCAGACUCCUACGGGAGGCAACAGUGGGGAAUAUUGGACAAUGGGUGCAAGCCUGAUCCAGCCAUACCGCGUGGGUGAAGAAGGCCUUCGGGUUGUAAAGCCCUUUUGUUGGGAAAGAAAAGCAGCAGGUUAAUACCCCGCUGUUCUGACGGUACCCAAAGAAUAAGCACCGGCUAACUUCGUG
RNAcentral lists this ribosomal RNA (492 nucleotides) under uncultured bacterium. Its description in RNAcentral is "partial 16S ribosomal RNA". It matches the Rfam family "Bacterial small subunit ribosomal RNA", at positions 29 to 507 of the family's 1533-position model. The record is from RNAcentral.